RNAcentral lists this ribosomal RNA (1837 nucleotides) under Xenotoplana acus. Its description in RNAcentral is "SSU rRNA". It matches the Rfam family "Eukaryotic small subunit ribosomal RNA". Lineage: Eukaryota; Metazoa; Platyhelminthes; Proseriata; Otoplanidae. The record is from RNAcentral.
AMCUGGUUGAUCCUGCCAGUAGUCAUAUGCUUGUCUCAAAGAUUAAGCCAUGCAUGCGCAAGUCCGCUUUUCCUUGGUGAUAAUAAAGAGUAAACCACAAAUGGCUCAUUAAAUCAGCUAUAAUUUAUUUGGUGAUAUUCCAUAAAAUGGAUAACUGUGGUAAUUCUAGAGCUAAUACAUGCCUCGAAGCCACGACCUCACGGGAAUGGCGCAAUUAUUAGGUCAAAAUCAACCGGACUUCGGUCUGUUUCUUUUGACGACUCUGGAUAAUCCAAAUAGCCACAGUUUAUCGUACGGCCUUGUGUCGACGAUAUUCCAUUCAAAUAACUGCCCUAUCAACAGGUUGGAACCACAUUGUGGUACCGCUGUUAUCACGGGUAACGGGGAAUCUGGGUUCGAUUCCGGAGAGGGAGCCUGAGAAAUAGCUACCACAUCCAAGGAAGGCAGCAGGCGCGCAAAUUACCCACUCCCAGAUCGGGGAGGUAGUGACGAAAAAUAACGAUACGAAAUCUCUUCGAGGCUUCGUAAUCGGAAUGAGACAAUUUUAAAUCCUUUUACAAGGACCUAUUGGAGGGCAAGUCUGGUGCCAGCAGCCGCGGUAAUUCCAGCUCCAAUAGCAUAUAUUAAAGUUGUUGCAGUUAAAAAGCUCGUAGUUGGAUCUUAGGUUCUGAUCGGACUGAGCACAGACCUCGGUUUGUCUCUUCUGGUCGUCCUAAAUAGUUGUGGAUUCAUUUUGUGCUCUUCACUGAGUGCGAUUUGAGCCCAACGAUGUUACUUUGAAAAAAUUAAAGUGCUUAAAGCAGGCUUAAUGCUUGUAUAAUGUUGCAUGGAAUAACAGAAUAGGACUUCAGUUUUAUUUUGUUGGUUUUCGAAUCUGAAGUAAUGAUUAACAGAGACUGCCGGGGGCAUUCGUAUGGCGGGGCUAGAGGUGAAAUUCAUGGACCCUCGCCAGACGUCCUACUGCGAAAGCAUUUGCCAAGAAUGUUUUCACUAAUCAAGAACGAAAGUCAGAGGUUCGAAGACGAUCAGAUACCGUCCUAGUUCUGACCAUAAAUGAUGCCAUCUGAUUAUCCGCUCGGUCGCAAGACCGACAUAGCGGGCAGCCCCCGGGAAACCAAAGAUUUCAGGCCCCGGGGGUAGUAUGGUUGCAAGACUGAAACUUAAAGGAAUUGACGGAAGGGCACCACCAGGAGUGGAGCCUGCGGCUUAAUUUGACUCAACACGGGGAACCUCACUCGGCCAGGACAUUAGAAGGAUUGACGGAUUAAAAGCUCUUUCAUAAUUUAAUGGUUGGUGGUGCAUGGCCGUUCUUAGUUGGUGGAUUGGUUUGUCUGGUUUAUUCCGAUAACGAGCGAGAUUGUUUCUUACUAAAUAGAAUUGCCAGAAGUAUUUACAUGUCUGGAAGAGCUUCUUAGAAGGAUCUGUAAUUUUGAGUUAUAUGAUAGAGAGCAAUAACAGGUCUGUGAUGCCCUUAGAUGUCCGAGGCUGCACGCGCGCUACACUGACGGCACCAAUAAGUUAGUUACCUGGCCCGAAAGGGUUGGGCAACCUUGUUAGUCGCCGGUAAACGUGCUUUGGGAUUGGAGCUUGCAAUUAUUCUCCAUGAACGAGGAAUUCCCAGUAAGCUUAAUUCAUCAGAUUGAGCUGAUUACGUCCCUGCCCUUUGUACACACCGCCCGUCGCUACUACCGAUUGAAUGGUUUAGUGAGGUCCUCGGAUUGGCGCUACCGGAAUGGGCAACCGUUCUAGUAAGUGCUGAGAAGACGAUCGAACUUGAUCAUUUAGAGGAAGUAAAAGUCGUAACAAGGUUUCCGUAGGUGAACCUGCAGAUGGAUCA